UAAUUGACAAAACAUAAUACACUUCAGAAUAUCAACAUUAUUCUUUCACAAAAACGUCAAAAAAAGCACACGAUGCGAAUAAAUUAUUAAGUAAAAUAACUUCUGAUGUUAUUAUGAGUGACAGGGAUGGAAAUAACUGGGUGCCUAUCGCAGCAGGCGUUGUCCUGGGAGCUGGACUGCUAACAUUGAUAUAUAAGAUGUUCUUCACCGGCUGCAGAGAAUCUCAGAAACAGCAAUACACCAACCAGCAGAUAGGAGUCCCUUUUCAGUGCACUUGCAAGAAAGGAGGCCCCGCUCCGUGUCAAAUACAUAAAGCAAAACGUUAAUACUUCUUCGAUUGAUGGUUGAAAAUCUCAUUCAAAAAUGUCAAAGCUGACAUUAUUUCAAAAUGGAAAACACGCAAUACUUUUAGAAUUUCAAAAUGAAUACAAUAGAUAAUGAGCUUUAAAUUAAUUAGUACUGGACUAAGCUAUGUGUGAUUGUGCUGAGGAAGAGAGGAGACGAAAAGCCAUCAGACAUAGUAAUGUUUCACCAAGUCCGCAACCCUCUCCCCCAGCCUGGAGCUUUCCUGAAGAUUCCAAUUGGCUUCGAGUCCUCGGCGGUUCCACUUUAGUACUAGCAUUUAUCGGAUUUAUGUACAAAAAGUUUGGUAGUUGGAUGUUUGGCAAAGGUUGCCAUCGGACACAAAAUCUUACAAAGAAACCUCAAAACGAGUUAAAGAAAAGUACCUGUCAGUGCUGAUUAUGCUUUAGUUCACAAAGCGGUUUGAAUUCAAGGUAUAUUAUAUGAUUUACACAUGCCUGAUUGCAUGAUUUUUUGAAAUUAAAUUUUAUGUUUUGGAA
Bombyx mori (domestic silkworm) is the source of this 842-nucleotide long non-coding RNA. RefSeq lists it as uncharacterized. The transcript is spliced from 4 exons. The record is from RefSeq and is a predicted model, not a curated record. Lineage: Eukaryota; Metazoa; Arthropoda; Insecta; Lepidoptera; Bombycidae.